Non-coding RNA from Cinara cedri, 268 nucleotides. NCBI's taxonomy places the organism in Eukaryota, Metazoa, Arthropoda, Insecta, Hemiptera, Aphididae. The record is from the annotation of a GenBank genome assembly.
CAAAUUUUACAAUAAUAUAAUAUAUAGUAUGAUACUGAUAAUGUGACAAUAGUUUAAUACUGUGAUAAUACGGUAGAUUGGUCAGCAUUGUGUGGUGGUGGAGGGACAAGUUAAAUGAGUCGGUCGUGACACGAUUUCAAAUUUCGCCUUCGUGGUCUAGUUAUCGCGCCUCGUUGUGUAACCAGUAGAUCUUUAAUCGUGGUUAAUAUAAAUAUAGCUAUUUGAUUUAUACCUGUGCCACAAUGAUAAACCAUUGCUAAUGAAAAAC